This 24-nucleotide non-coding RNA is filed under the name Arabidopsis thaliana (thale cress). The record is from RNAcentral. Lineage: Eukaryota; Viridiplantae; Streptophyta; Magnoliopsida; Brassicales; Brassicaceae.
GGAAGUCCUGUAACUUUGGGAGCA